UGCAUUAGUUACCGUGAAAUG
Molecule: non-coding RNA, 21 nt
Filed under: Caenorhabditis elegans
Lineage: Eukaryota; Metazoa; Nematoda; Chromadorea; Rhabditida; Rhabditidae
Source: RNAcentral